This 1024-nucleotide long non-coding RNA is filed under the name Triticum aestivum (bread wheat). RNAcentral describes it as "long non-coding RNA (TAES_LNC009513)". The record is from RNAcentral. Lineage: Eukaryota; Viridiplantae; Streptophyta; Magnoliopsida; Poales; Poaceae.
AUAUACACAGUUUCAUCAAUAUUACACAGUUUCAUCCAUAGGUAGCAAGUUUCACAAAGUAAAAACAAAAACUAAAGACAAGCACUCCAUAUCUGAAAUUACAAGAAAUGACCUAAAACUAAAUAUCUAUUUUCCUAGGCAGCACACACUUGACCACCAUAGCAGCUUGCCGGACCGUUGUAUCUGUGGAGCACAAAACAGUAGUCAGCCUGAUUAGAAAUUUUAAGGAGAGCAGUGCUAGUUUAAGAGUUAUGAACAGAUAGAAAUGGUGCAUAAAUUCCUAUUAUUCAACAAACAUAAGUUAUUUCCAAGUGAAACACGGGGCAAUGUUAUCCACUUCAAAACAGAACAGAACACACAGGUACACACAUCGUCAAGUUUUUUCCACAAAUGAGUUACUGAUUGAGUUCAAGAAAUGACCAAGGGCCUAAUUGGUUCACAGGACCUAAAAACUCAUAAAUAGGAAAAUCACUGGGUUGCAAUGUCAUGCCCUCUCUUCAUACAAUAUGAUCGACAGGAUAUUACAAUCAUAUGGAAUAAUUUGAAGCUGUGUGGGAAAAGAGAAUACCAUUCACCGCAAUGAAAAAUAUAGCAUGCCGGAAUCACUAUUCUAGAGCACAUAUCCGUACCAAAAUAUUUAUAGUGUUUCCAACUCUUCUAAGCAUGUGAGAACACUAUGAGAACAAUCAAAUUGAGUUAUCUAAGCAAUUUGACAAUCAAAUGGAGUUAACACGGGCCCAAGCGUUAGGGAUUUAGUGACGGCAGCAGUCUGCCAGCCGGCUUCCUCAAUAGAAGGGACAGACCCAGUGCUAGAAGCAGAACAAGAACAUUGAUACACAAGAUAAGCACAAGCCCUUGAGAGCAGUCUGCUUGGCAGAACAAUUAAUUAACCUCUAGAAGCAGAAGAAGCACGUUGAUAGACCAGUUAUUAUGAAGAACCAACCUUGAGAGCGGUCUGCUUGCGCAAGAUAUCAUUGGACUUGAACAUGACUGCGGCAAUCUAGGUCAUGACGAAGAAACCUAC